GACGAACGCUGGCGGCGUGCUUAACACAUGCAAGUCGAACGGAAAGGCCCUGCGUUUGUGGGGUGCUCGAGUGGCGAACGGGUGAGUAACACGUGAGUAACCUGCCCUUGACUUUGGGAUAACUUCAGGAAACUGGGGCUAAUACCGGAUAGGAGCUCCUGCUGCAUGGUGGGGGGUGGAAAGUUUCGGCGGUUGGGGAUGGACUCGCGGCUUAUCAGCUUGUUGGUGGGGUAGUGGCUUACCAAGGCUUUGACGGGUAGCCGGCCUGAGAGGGUGACCGGCCACAUUGGGACUGAGAUACGGCCCAGACUCCUACGGGAGACAGCAGUGGGGAAUAUUGCACAAUGGGCGGAAGCCUGAUGCAGAAACGCCGCGUGCGGGAUGACGGCCUUCGGGUUGUAAACAGCUUUCGCCUGUGACGAAGCGUGAGUGACGGUAAUGGGUAAAGAAGCACCGGCUAACUACGUG
Molecule: ribosomal RNA, 468 nt
Filed under: uncultured bacterium
Lineage: Bacteria
Description: partial 16S ribosomal RNA
Rfam family: Bacterial small subunit ribosomal RNA
Source: RNAcentral